GAUGAACGCUGGCGGCGUGCCUAAUACAUGCAAGUCGAGCGAACGGACGAGAAGCUUGCUUCUCUGAUGUUAGCGGCGGACGGGUGAGUAACACGUGGAUGACCUACCUAUAAGACUGGGAUAACUUCGGGAAACCGGAGCUAAUACCGGAUAAUAUUUUGAACCGCAUGGUUCAAAAGUGAAAGACGGUCUUGCUGUCACUUAUAGAUGGAUCCGCGCUGCAUUAGCUAGUUGGUAAGGUAACGGCUUACCAAGGCAACGAUGCAUAGCCGACCUGAGAGGGUGAUCGGCCACACUGGAACUGAGACACGGUCCAGACUCCUACGGGAGGCAGCAGUAGGGAAUCUUCCGCAAUGGGCGAAAGCCUGACGGAGCAACGCCGCGUGAGUGAUGAAGGUCUUCGGAUCGUAAAACUCUGUUAUUAGGGAAAAACAUAUGUGUAAGUAACUGUGCACAUCUUGACGGUACCUAAUCAGAAAGCCACGGCUAACUACGUGCCAGCAGCCGCGGUAAUACGUAGGUGGCAAGCGUUAUCCGGAAUUAUUGGGCGUAAAGCGCGCGUAGGCGGUUUUUUAAGUCUGAUGUGAAAGCCCACGGCUCAACCGUGGAGGGUCAUUGGAAACUGGAAAACUUGAGUGCAGAAGAGGAAAGUGGAAUUCCAUGUGUAGCGGUGAAAUGCGCAGAGAUAUGGAGGAACACCAGUGGCGAAGGCGACUUUCUGGUCUGUAACUGACGCUGAUGUGCGAAAGCGUGGGGAUCAAACAGGAUUAGAUACCCUGGUAGUCCACGCCGUAAACGAUGAGUGCUAAGUGUUAGGGGGUUUCCGCCCCUUAGUGCUGCAGCUAACGCAUUAAGCACUCCGCCUGGGGAGUACGACCGCAAGGUUGAAACUCAAAGGAAUUGACGGGGACCCGCACAAGCGGUGGAGCAUGUGGUUUAAUUCGAAGCAACGCGAAGAACCUUACCAAAUCUUGACAUCCUUUGACAACUCUAGAGAUAGAGCCUUCCCCUUCGGGGGACAAAGUGACAGGUGGUGCAUGGUUGUCGUCAGCUCGUGUCGUGAGAUGUUGGGUUAAGUCCCGCAACGAGCGCAACCCUUAAGCUUAGUUGCCAUCAUUAAGUUGGGCACUCUAAGUUGACUGCCGGUGACAAACCGGAGGAAGGUGGGGAUGACGUCAAAUCAUCAUGCCCCUUAUGAUUUGGGCUACACACGUGCUACAAUGGACAAUACAAAGGGCAGCGAAACCGCGAGGUCAAGCAAAUCCCAUAAAGUUGUUCUCAGUUCGGAUUGUAGUCUGCAACUCGACUACAUGAAGCUGGAAUCGCUAGUAAUCGUAGAUCAGCAUGCUACGGUGAAUACGUUCCCGGGUCU
RNAcentral lists this ribosomal RNA (1372 nucleotides) under uncultured bacterium. Its description in RNAcentral is "bacterial SSU rRNA". It matches the Rfam family "Bacterial small subunit ribosomal RNA", at positions 28 to 1381 of the family's 1533-position model. The record is from RNAcentral.